UAAGGAAUAUUGGUCAAUGGACGAAAGUCUGAACCAGCCAUGCCGCGUGGAGGAUGAAGGUCCUCUGGAUUGUAAACUUCUUUUCUCUGUAAAGAAAUGCACGGUUUCUACUGUGUUUGACGGUAACAGAGGAAUAAGCACCGGCUAACUCCGUGCCAGCAGCCGCGGUAAUACGGAGGGUGCAAGCGUUAUCCGGAUUCACUGGGUUUAAAGGGAGCGUAGGUGGGCAGAUAAGUCAGCGGUGAAAUACCUGAGCUUAACUCAGGAACUGCCAUUGAUACUGUCUGUCUUGAAUAUCGUAGAGGUUAGCGGAAUAUGUCAUGUAGCGGUGAAAUGCUUAGAUAUGACAUAGAACACCGAUUGCGAAGGCAGCUAGCUAUGCGAAUAUUGACACUGAGGC
Molecule: ribosomal RNA, 400 nt
Filed under: uncultured bacterium
Lineage: Bacteria
Description: bacterial SSU rRNA
Rfam family: Bacterial small subunit ribosomal RNA
Source: RNAcentral